This 883-nucleotide ribosomal RNA is filed under the name Wojnowicia rosicola. Its description in RNAcentral is "eukaryotic LSU rRNA". It matches the Rfam family "Eukaryotic large subunit ribosomal RNA", at positions 39 to 940 of the family's 3401-position model. Lineage: Eukaryota; Fungi; Ascomycota; Dothideomycetes; Pleosporales; Phaeosphaeriaceae. The record is from RNAcentral.
CAUAUCAAUAAGCGGAGGAAAAGAAACCAACAGGGAUUGCCCUAGUAACGGCGAGUGAAGCGGCAACAGCUCAAAUUUGAAAUCUGGCUCUUUCAGAGUCCGAGUUGUAAUUUGCAGAGGGCGCUUUGGCGUUGGCAGCGGUCCAAGUUCUUUGGAACAGGACGUCACAGAGGGUGAGAAUCCCGUACGUGGUCGCUAACCUUCGCCGUGUAAAGCCCCUUCGACGAGUCGAGUUGUUUGGGAAUGCAGCUCUAAAUGGGAGGUAAAUUUCUUCUAAAGCUAAAUACUGGCCAGAGACCGAUAGCGCACAAGUAGAGUGAUCGAAAGAUGAAAAGCACUUUGGAAAGAGAGUCAAAUAGCACGUGAAAUUGUUGAAAGGGAAGCGCUUGCAGCCAGACUUGCCUGUAGUUGCUUAUCCGGACUUUUGUCCGGUGCACUCUUCUGCAGGCAGGCCAGCAUCAGUUUGGGCGGUUGGAUAAAGGUCUCUAUCACGUACCUCCCUUCGGGGUUGGCCUUAUAGGGGAGACGUCAUGCAACCAGCCUGGACUGAGGUCCGCGCAUCUGCUAGGAUGCUGGCGUAAUGGCUGUAAGCGGCCCGUCUUGAAACACGGACCAAGGAGUCUAACAUCUAUGCGAGUGUUUGGGUGUCAAGCCCAGACGCGUAAUGAAAGUGAACGGAGGUGGGAACCUUUUAGGUGCACCAUCGACCGAUCCUGAUGUCUUCGGAUGGAUUUGAGUAAGAGCAUGGCUGUUGGGACCCGAAAGAUGGUGAACUAUGCUUGAAUAGGGUGAAGCCAGAGGAAACUCUGGUGGAGGCUCGCAGCGGUUCUGACGUGCAAAUCGAUCGUCAAAUUUGGGCAUAGGGGCGAAAGACUAAUCGAAC